This 334-nucleotide long non-coding RNA is filed under the name Anser brachyrhynchus (Pink-footed goose). RNAcentral's name for it is "lncRNA (ENSABRG00000013971.1)". Lineage: Eukaryota; Metazoa; Chordata; Aves; Anseriformes; Anatidae. The record is from RNAcentral.
CUUUUUUUCAGAUCAUAAAUCAGUAGCAAAUGUGCAGAUUUGGACUGUCCAAAGUUUUACCUUGAGAAUAUUUUCUUGAAGCAUUCCAAAACACUGAAAUCCUAGGAUGGCAAGGAAAAAAAUCAAAUAAAAGAUUCACCCAUUACUGAUCUGCAGACAGCAGUGGUGAUUUUUCUGUGUUGCCACCCUUCAGAAGCUAAUGAGAUCUUUUCACAGAUCCUAUUACAAUUCACAGUAAAGUGAUCCUCUACCUGUCUUUCCUGAGGGGUCCAAUUAAGGUAAGGAUUUAUUCAAGACGCGUACUGACCUGGGGCUUGCACAGUGCAAAUCUGAG